GUGGGUCUUUGAUUGUGUGUGUGUGUGAGAGAGAGAAAGGGAGGGAGGGAGCUGGAGUCAGAAAGAGCUGAGCUUCUCCCCCUAUAAGCCAAGAGAGCAACCUGCUCACCCUCUUUUUCUUUCCUUCUUUUCCAGCAAGUGACAAAGGAUCCAACCGUUCAGACCAGGGGAGCAGCCAGUCCAUUUAGCAGCCUCCUUGCAGCACAAGUGGACAGUCCCAGCAUGAGGAGAGAGGAGAGGGGAUCGGCCUUCUCCUGAAUUAGACCGGACUCUCAGGAGGAGCCCUUCAGGGCCUCCCAGCAUGCCUGGAACCAGGAUAUAUUUGAGGUCUUUCGUGAUUGCUUUCAUCAUCGAAUCAGUAACCAUUUUUAUUUUGAGGACCAGAGGAGGAAAGAGAAUCUUAUGUGUUCAUGGGAUCGAAAGGAUUCAACUUGGAUUUAGUAGAUAUUCUUUAUUUGUAUCCUGACGAAGGUAUUGAAGGUACCCAACACACCUUCCUCACGUUUUCCCCACAGCAACAACAACCCUGUGAGGUGGGCUGGACUGAGAGGGAGUGAGUGGCCCAAGGUCACCCAGCUGGCUUUCAUGGCUGAGGCAGGACUUGAACUCACAGUCACUUUCUAGCCUGGUGCCUUAACCACUAGACCAAACUGCCUUGUGUGGCUCGUAAUAGCUCUGUAAUAUAGCUUGAUGCAACCAUGUUGUUAUUAUGACCUUUAAUGGGCUCCUGAUGAUUGACAGGUUUUAGAGAAGGUUUUGUGGAGAAUGGGGGGAGGAAUAGGAUGGAGAGUUGCUGGUUUUACUUUAAGGGAGAGUGAUAAGUUGUUAAAUCUCUAUCAUACUUGCUGGAUUGAAAGUGGAGGGUUUAAAUAGAUAUGUGCAAUAUAAUCUUUGUUUAACAGAUACGUAUAAUAGAAUCUUUAAAUUAUUUUUUAAAAAAGAAAUGUGCUU
Notechis scutatus (mainland tiger snake) is the source of this 951-nucleotide non-coding RNA. The record is from RefSeq and is a predicted model, not a curated record. Lineage: Eukaryota; Metazoa; Chordata; Lepidosauria; Squamata; Elapidae.